UGGUGGAGCGAUUUGUCUGGUUAAUUCCGAUAACGAACGAGACUCUAGCCUAUUAAAUAGUUCGCCGAUUUUUCGAGUCGGCGUCAACUUCUUAGGGGGACAAGUGGCGUUUAGCCACGCGAGAUUGAGCAAUGACA
RNAcentral lists this ribosomal RNA (137 nucleotides) under uncultured eukaryote. RNAcentral's name for it is "partial 18S ribosomal RNA". It matches the Rfam family "Eukaryotic small subunit ribosomal RNA", at positions 1299 to 1458 of the family's 1831-position model. The record is from RNAcentral.